CUCAUUAAAUCAGUUAUAGUUUAUUUGAUGGUCUCUUUGUUCUUCUUUUUACCUACUUGGAUAACCGUGGUAAUUCUAGAGCUAAUACAUGCGCAAGGUCCCGAGCGCGGAGGGUAAGGCUUCACGGCUCUAUCCUUGCAUGCGUAGAGGGAUGUAUUUAUUAGGUUAAACAACCAGCAGCCAGCAAUGGCUACAUCUUCUGGUGAUUCAUAGUAACUCUUUCGGAUCGCAUUCAUG
Molecule: ribosomal RNA, 237 nt
Filed under: uncultured Acanthamoeba
Lineage: Eukaryota; Discosea; Longamoebia; Acanthamoebidae
Description: partial 18S ribosomal RNA
Rfam family: Eukaryotic small subunit ribosomal RNA
Source: RNAcentral